This 327-nucleotide ribosomal RNA is filed under the name uncultured eukaryote. Its description in RNAcentral is "partial 18S ribosomal RNA". It matches the Rfam family "Eukaryotic small subunit ribosomal RNA", at positions 1470 to 1796 of the family's 1831-position model. The record is from RNAcentral.
CCCCUAGAUGUUCUGGGCCGCACGCGCGCUACACUGACGAAUGCAACGAGCUUAUAACCUUGGCCGAAAGGUCUGGGUAAUCUCCAAAUUUCGUCGUGAUGGGGAUAGAUUAUUGCAAUUAUUAAUCUUCAACGAGGAAUGCCUAGUAAGCGCAAGUCAUCAGCUUGCGUUGAUUACGUCCCUGCCCUUUGUACGCACCGCCCGUCGCUCCUACCGAUUGAAUGGUCCGGUGAAGCGUUCGGACCGUGGCCUUUGGACGGUUCGCCGUCUGUUGGCUGCGGGAAGUUCGUUAAACCUUAUCAUUUAGAGGAAGGAGAAGUCGUAACA